Penaeus monodon (black tiger shrimp) is the source of this 147-nucleotide long non-coding RNA. RefSeq lists it as uncharacterized. The transcript has 2 exons. Lineage: Eukaryota; Metazoa; Arthropoda; Malacostraca; Decapoda; Penaeidae. The record is from RefSeq and is a predicted model, not a curated record.
CGACAGUCUGCGUCGGGCUGUUAUAGGAGUGAGGUGUGUGCUGCGUCGCUCCUCGGAGAGCACGUCGAGGGAAGACUAUGCUGUCGAUCCUUGAAAACUAGAAACACAAUGAGGUGAAGAAAGUGUGAAACAGAAUGAAAUUCUGAG